UUGGAGGGCAAGUCUGGUGCCAGCAGCCGCGGUAAUUCCAGCUCCCAUAGCGUAUAUUAAAGUUGUUGCAGUUAAAAAGCUCGUAGUUGAAUUUCGGGAUCGACGGGUCGGUCGCGCCUCUGGUGUGUACUGGCCCUGUCGGUUUCUCCCUUCUGACGAACCACGAUGUCAUUAAUUUGGUGUCGUGGGAAAUCAGGACUGUUACUUUGAAAAAAUUAGAGUGUUUAAAGCAGGCAUUCGCUUGAAUACAUUAGCAUGGAAUAAUGAAAUAGGACGUUUGAUCUUAUUUUGUUGGUUUCUAAGAUCGACGUAAUGAUUAAUAGGGAUAGUUGGGGGCAUUAGUAUUCAAUCGUCAGAGGUGAAAUUCUUGGAUUUAUUGAAGACUAACUACUGCGAAAGCAUUUGCCAAGGAUGUUUUCAUUAAUCAAGAACGAAAGUUAGGGGAUCGAAGACGAUCAGAUACCGUCGUAGUCUUAACCAUAAACUAUGCCGACUAGGGAUCGGAUGAUGUUAAUUUUUUAAUGACUCAUUCGGCGCCUUACGGGAAACCAAAGUGUUUGGGU
RNAcentral lists this ribosomal RNA (563 nucleotides) under uncultured Glomus. RNAcentral's name for it is "SSU rRNA". It matches the Rfam family "Eukaryotic small subunit ribosomal RNA", at positions 548 to 1112 of the family's 1831-position model. The record is from RNAcentral. Lineage: Eukaryota; Fungi; Glomeromycota; Glomeromycetes; Glomerales; Glomeraceae.